UUUUGGUGGAUACAAAGUAUCUGAAAAGGGAAUGCAGUGAAAGUCUGCAGCAGCCCCCGCUACUGUAAAGUGGACUGUAGUUUUAUAUACCACUGGUAAAAUACCGGGAAGGAAGAUUACAGGAAGAAGCUAAGCCAGGAGACCUGCCAAAAGUGA
This 156-nucleotide non-coding RNA is filed under the name uncultured Blautia sp. The record is from RNAcentral. Lineage: Bacteria; Bacillati; Bacillota; Clostridia; Lachnospirales; Lachnospiraceae.